RNAcentral lists this long non-coding RNA (601 nucleotides) under Cricetulus griseus (Chinese hamster). Its description in RNAcentral is "lncRNA (ENSCGRG00015011001.2)". The record is from RNAcentral. Lineage: Eukaryota; Metazoa; Chordata; Mammalia; Rodentia; Cricetidae.
CACCAAGUCUCUUGACCUGGUCUACCACAGCACACAAGUGCUUGCCCACUUAAAGUAAACAAGUGCUUUCCAACGGUCCCUGUCCAAGGCAAACACCAUCUAUGGAGGAGGAGACCUAGGACCUCCAUUUGGAUGAGGAAUUCCUGAAUGUAAUUGACUGGACUUUUAACAGAGUUUUGAUGAAAAGAACCAAUAACAUUUGAAAAUUUGGUGAAAAGAACCAGAAAACAUUUGAAAAUCUGUAUUAAUACAGAAGCACCACAUCUGCCUGCAUGCCCCUGUGCUUCCUGUCAUGAUGAUAAUGGACUGAACCUCUGAACUCAAAGGCCUGGCUUCCAUGGCUUGCAUCUGACUCAAGUUUCUACACCGCAGUGCUCAGAGCCACCCGUCUUCAGCCUGUCUCCACUUGACACACACAGAAUUUCCUGUCGCUGUAGCCUGAGAACAGUUUGGGUCUGUUUGCCAUGGCUUACUAUCUGAGAAGUCCUGGGCUUAAGGCAGUGAAGGAGGCCAGGUCUCUCUUUGAACUUGAAGCUCUGCUAGACUGACUUGUGAAAGCCUCAAGGAUCCUCCUGACCCAGCAUCCCCUAUACUGAGAUUA